This is a non-coding RNA of Vicia faba (fava bean), 309 nucleotides long. Lineage: Eukaryota; Viridiplantae; Streptophyta; Magnoliopsida; Fabales; Fabaceae. The record is from the annotation of a GenBank genome assembly.
CAAACCAAGGUAAGUCCAGAAAGGGGGUUUUUGUAUCAGCUUCUUCAGGUUCCAAAAAAAAAACAUGGGCUCAUGGGGGAAAUUAGCAGCAAAGGCCCAAGGUCUACCAAAAAAAUGAAGAGCCGUUUGUGCUGGAGAACCAGGUCAAAGUUGACCCAGGUUUCUACUUUAGAAAAUGAUCGGGUUCAUAGAACCCUAGUUUCUCUUUCUCGCAAUUCUAAUCUCACACUCAAACCCUUUUCAAAUUAUCUCUACUUCUCAUCCUCACAAUCGAUUUUUUAUGUUAACAACAACAAUAAACACUCAUAA